Molecule: long non-coding RNA, 1766 nt
Organism: Phasianus colchicus (ring-necked pheasant)
Lineage: Eukaryota; Metazoa; Chordata; Aves; Galliformes; Phasianidae
Source: RefSeq, a predicted model, not a curated record
CAGGAUCCAGCCCUUCUGAGCCUUCAUUUAAGGGUUGGCAGUGAGGUGAGGGGAUCUUCCUGGAGUCCCUGCAUGCCUGUGGCCUUCCAAAGUUGGAGACACUGGAUUCAUGCGGAGUGGGUUGUGGCUUUGAUGGUUUUCCUUGGAGAGAAGUGAAAGACACAGAGUAGUCCUAGCAUCACUUGGAGGCAAGGCAGAUGUACAUCACAGGUUUCUCUGAGCAUCACUUCAGCCGUGGUCUAACUGACUGUAUCACUUGUCUUACCUGUGACAAAAAAACUGAUGUGUCCAUGCCAAGAGUUACUGACCAUCAGUGCCUCUUCAGAAGAGGUGGUAAGAGUAAGCCCACUGAUGGAUGUGCUACUGUGCAUGGGAGGACCUUCAAGCAGCCAUUUUCCAUGUGAGAAACUUUACUAGCUGUAGGUUCAAGGCAGCUGAACUCGGCUCUUUGUGCUAAAGCAUGAACAGGGCUGGAAAGAGAAUAAUGUCUCCUGCUGACAGCAAUUCCUGAAAAAAGAAAAAAAAAUCCAAUGAGCCAUUACUUUGUGAGGUGAUAAAGGAUUAUAUAAAUUCAAAACUUCUAUUGUGAGCAGAAAUUGUGGCCUUUUUGCUGAGGUGGGCUUUAUGACUGCUGUUAGUGCUGGUGCAUAGAGAAACAGUGAACAGCAAGCGAUGUGACAUCUCCAAGUACUGAUAGAAGUUCAUCUGGAAAAGUCUCUCGGACUGUUCUUCUGUAACUUUUCAGGAGGAGCUGAGCCCUAUUCCUAAUCUCCUGCCUUCUUCAAGAGGUAAAUAGAAGGACUCUCAGCUGGCGUUGUCUGUGAGCAUCUGUCCAUUUCUCUGCACAUCUCCCGCUGCCAUGCUGUUGGUUUGCUUGCCCACUCUUCCAUCUCUCCACUUCAAUGAGAAGCAGACAAGAAAUUCUCUGGGAUUCGGAAAACUCUUGCUCCUGAGUAGAAGAGCACGAUGGAGAGGGGAUAUAAACAGCGAUUUUGUGAAAGCCACCAAAAAUGCUAAAAUGCGUGAACUCAAUGAUGGGGCCCUUUGGUACAACUGGGGCUUAUAAAAGACUGCCAACAUAAGAAGGGGAAAAAAAAGGAGCUUCUCAGGGGUGUCUGUAGUCCAUUGAUGAAAGAUAUCAUAGGCAUCAGAUGCAUGCUUAAUUGCUAGGAAGUGCACUAAUGACUUGCAUCACUUGGCAUGCCUAUAGGCUGCAGCAAGGCCUGUCCUGUUGUGCAGUGCACUCGUUUAUUGAAAAGCCAUCCCUACUGUGAGUAAUUCUGUGGCUAAAUAGGCAGGGCUGGUGGAUCUUGGGAGAACGUGUUAGUCUCACUUUGUGUCAUAGGAGCUGAAGCUAAGAUCUUUCAGCAUAAAGCCUUACCUGUGCGUGCCUCCUCCCUCCCCAGCAGAUUACUGGUGGUGGUGACUUUGUUAGAUGAGUAGAGCCAUGCUUUUCCUUCUGCUGGAUGUUAAUCAUGCAGUAUUUAUACGCAAUCCUUUCUACAUCCUUAAAUGAAAAGCACCAGGAUCAGGCAAGAUUAUUUCUUUGUCAUUACGUGUUAGUCACCAGAGCUGAGGACCUCUCUGGCCAAAAGAACUUGGGGAGGAGCUCCAGAGCAGCAGGCAGACAUUAACAGCUGAUCUACAUGAGUUAGUCAAGGGGGUUGAUGCUGUGCCUUAUGAAUUAUGUGGCUUGUAUGACUGUUCUGAUUUAUAAUGGCUCACUGAUGGAUGUGUGGCCACUAAAGAACAUUUCUCUUGUUCCA